AUUGAACGCUGGCGGCAGGCCUAACACAUGCAAGUCGAGCGGAUGAAGGGAGCUUGCUCCUGGAUUCAGCGGCGGACGGGUGAGUAAUGCCUAGGAAUCUGCCUGGUAGUGAGGGAUAACGUCCGGAAACGGGCGCUAAUACCGCAUACGUCCUGAGGUAGAAAGUGGGGGAUCUUCGGACCUCACGCUAUCAGAUGUGACUAGGUCGGAUUAGCUAGUUGGUGGGGUAAAGGCCUACCAAGGCGACGAUCCGUAACUGGUCUGAGAGGCUGAUCAGUCACACUGGAACUGAGACACGGUCCAGACUCCUACGGGAGGCAGCAGUGGGGAAUAUUGCACAAUGGGCGAAAGCCUGAUCCAGCCAUGCCGCGUGUGUGAAGAAGGUCUUCGGAUUGUAAAGCUCUUUAAGUUGGGAGGAAGGGCAGUAAGUUAAUACCUUGCUGUUUUGACGUUACCAACAGAAUAAGCACCGGCUAACUUCGUG
RNAcentral lists this ribosomal RNA (484 nucleotides) under uncultured bacterium. RNAcentral's name for it is "partial 16S ribosomal RNA". It matches the Rfam family "Bacterial small subunit ribosomal RNA", at positions 30 to 507 of the family's 1533-position model. The record is from RNAcentral.